Small nuclear RNA from Otolemur garnettii (small-eared galago), 107 nucleotides. The record is from Ensembl. NCBI's taxonomy places the organism in Eukaryota, Metazoa, Chordata, Mammalia, Primates, Galagidae.
GUGCUUGCUCUGGUAGCAUAUAUACUAAAAUUGGAAUGAUACAGAGAAGAUUAGCACAACUCCUGGGCAAGAAUAACACACAAAUUUGUGAAGCAUUCCAUAUUUUU